CGGCGGACGGGUGAGUAAUGUCUGGGGAUCUGCCUGAUGGAGGGGGAUAACUACUGGAAACGGUAGCUAAUACCGCAUAACCUCGCAAGAGCAAAGUGGGGGACCUUCGGGCCUCACGCCAUCGGAUGAACCCAGAUGGGAUUAGCUAGUAGGUGGGGUAAUGGCUCACCUAGGCGACGAUCCCUAGCUGGUCUGAGAGGAUGACCAGCCACACUGGAACUGAGACACGGUCCAGACUCCUACGGGAGGCAGCAGUGGGGAAUAUUGCACAAUGGGCGCAAGCCUGAUGCAGCCAUGCCGCGUGUGUGAAG
RNAcentral lists this ribosomal RNA (311 nucleotides) under Yersinia ruckeri. Its description in RNAcentral is "bacterial SSU rRNA". It matches the Rfam family "Bacterial small subunit ribosomal RNA", at positions 96 to 410 of the family's 1533-position model. The record is from RNAcentral. Lineage: Bacteria; Pseudomonadati; Pseudomonadota; Gammaproteobacteria; Enterobacterales; Yersiniaceae. RNAcentral also lists the same sequence under 1 other name.